Molecule: ribosomal RNA, 253 nt
Filed under: uncultured bacterium
Lineage: Bacteria
Description: partial 16S ribosomal RNA
Rfam family: Bacterial small subunit ribosomal RNA
Source: RNAcentral
UACGUAGGGUGCAAGCGUUGUCCGGAAUUAUUGGGCGUAAAGCGCGUGUAGGCGGUUGCCAAAGUCGGGUGUGAAAGCCUUGAGCUCAACUCAAGAAAUGCACUCGAUACUUGGUGACUAGAGGACCGGAGAGGAUAGUGGAAUUCCCAGUGUAGUGGUGAAAUACGUAGAGAUUGGGAAGAACACCAGUGGCGAAGGCGGCUAUCUGGACGGUUUCUGACGCUAAGACGCGAAAGCGUGGGGAGCAAACAGG